This 504-nucleotide ribosomal RNA is filed under the name uncultured bacterium. RNAcentral's name for it is "partial 16S ribosomal RNA". It matches the Rfam family "Bacterial small subunit ribosomal RNA", at positions 28 to 523 of the family's 1533-position model. The record is from RNAcentral.
GAUGAACGCUAGCGGCAGGCCUAAUACAUGCAAGUCGAACGGGAUCUGAGGGUAGCUUGCUACCCGAUUUGAGAGUGGCGCACGGGUGCGUAACGCGUGAGCAACCUACCCAUAUCAGGGGGAUAGCCCGGAGAAAUUCGGAUUAACACCGCAUAAGAAUGUAUUAACACAUGUUAAAGCAUUUAAAUAUUUAUAGGAUAUGGAUGGGCUCGCGUGACAUUAGCUAGUUGGUGAGGUAACGGCUCACCAAGGCGACGAUGUCUAGGGGCUCUGAGAGGAGAAUCCCCCACACUGGUACUGAGACACGGACCAGACUCCUACGGGAGGCAGCAGUAAGGAAUAUUGGUCAAUGGGCGGAAGCCUGAACCAGCCAUGCCGCGUGCAGGAAGACGGCCCUAUGGGUUGUAAACUGCUUUUGCAGGGGAAUAAACCUCGAUACGUGUAUCGAGCUGAAUGUACUCUGAGAAUAAGGAUCGGCUAACUCCGUGCCAGCCGCCGCCGUAA